Long non-coding RNA from Patella vulgata (common limpet), 410 nucleotides. RefSeq lists it as uncharacterized. The record is from RefSeq and is a predicted model, not a curated record. NCBI's taxonomy places the organism in Eukaryota, Metazoa, Mollusca, Gastropoda, Patellidae. The transcript has 2 exons.
GCAAACACCACAGAUCAACACAAAACUCAAUUCGAGGGUGUAUUAUAGUCUUUCCAAAAUACUGUUUAUCAAUAUGAUAUUUGGGACAUUGCUGAUUGCUCUGUGUGUGGCAGUUUCUCUAAGCGACGCGGUCACCACUAGUUGUAAUAUAUAUAAUUGUGAGUUCAACCCAUGUGUUGACAUGAUCAGAAGACCUGGAGAAUGUUGCGCUUUUUGCCCGCACGGUCCAAACUGUUACGCCAUGGGACGGGUAAUCAGAGGUGGUAAAGAAACAGUUAUUGGCGAGUGGAAAUGUCGAUGUCCAACAUCAAAUGAACCAGGUUAUGAAGAGCUUGAAGGUAUCUGUUCUAAAAUGGAAGUUGAACUACACUGAGCUCAUGUUCUUGUGAAUAAAGAAUGUGCAAUAUGAA